RNAcentral lists this ribosomal RNA (253 nucleotides) under uncultured prokaryote. RNAcentral's name for it is "partial 16S ribosomal RNA". It matches the Rfam family "Bacterial small subunit ribosomal RNA", at positions 525 to 777 of the family's 1533-position model. The record is from RNAcentral.
ACGUAGGGUGCGAGCGUUAAUCGGAAUUACUGGGCGUAAAGUGUGCGCAGGCGGCUGAGCAAGUCGAGUGUGAAAGCCCCGGGCUUAACUUGGGAAUUGCGCUCGAAACUACUUGGCUGGAGUGUGGCAGAGGAGGGUGGAAUUCCACGUGUGGCAGUGAAAUGCGUAGAUAUGUGGAGGAAUACCGAUGGCGAAGGCAGCCCCCUGGGAUAACACUGACGCUCAUGCACGAAAGCGUGGGGAGCAAACAGGA